Balaenoptera musculus (blue whale) is the source of this 2710-nucleotide RNA transcript. It is a transcript of the gene named PCNA clamp associated factor, with no coding region annotated. NCBI's taxonomy places the organism in Eukaryota, Metazoa, Chordata, Mammalia, Artiodactyla, Balaenopteridae. The record is from RefSeq and is a predicted model, not a curated record. The transcript is spliced from 5 exons.
GACCAAUAUAAACUGUGGCGGGAGAUUCGUUUUCGGGGCCUUGUCCCGUGAAACAUCUUCGGCUGGGGAGUCAGUUGGUUGUUCUCAUCUCGUGUUUGAACAUGGUGCGAACUAAAGCAGACGGUGUCCCUGGCACCUACAGAAAAGUGGUGGCUUCUCGAGCCCCCAGGAAGGUGCUUGGUUCCUCCACCUCUGCCACUAACUCCACGCCGCUUUCGUCAAGGAAAGCUGAAAAUAAGUACGCAGGAGGGAAUCCAGUUUGUGUGCGCCCAACUCCCAAGUGGCAAAAAGGAAUCGGAGAAUUCUUCAGGCUGUCCCCUAAAGAUUCAGAAAAAGAGAAUAGGAUUCCUGAGGAGGCAGGAAGCAGUGGCUUGGGAAAAGCGAAGAGAAAAGAAUGUUGAGACUCCCAAAUUGGACUAGUUUAAAGAGCAUCUGAAGGAUUUGACCAGAUAAUGAAAGCCAAUAUUAAAUCUGCUGGAGUUUCAUGUACAAGACUGGAAAGAGACAACAUCGAGAAUUAAUGAUGUGAUUAAGUAUAACUUAAGAAAUAUGGACACUUCAAACUGUACCUUGCAAAUAAGAAUAAUUUCAUCUUCAUCUAGAGAAAAAGGAUGAGCUAUGGAAUGGAGAUUCAGUUUCCAUUUUGUUCACGAAAUCUAGAAGGCGGUAAAAUGAUUAGAUCAUGUCCUUUGCCACCUGAUCAUACAGAUGAUGAAAAUGAAUAGAAAUUACUUAUUCACUCUUGACUGAUGUCUCCUGUUUACUCUGGUAUUCUAGGAUGUAAAUUUGCAUAAACGUACUUGUUCCAAUUAGCUUUGUUGAAUAAGCAUUUAAGUUAAAAAAUGAGGCUUACAUUUAGUUAUUCAAAAGCAAGUAGUUUUGAUAUUGGAAAGUUUAUAAGAUUAAUUGUGGUUACUUAACUUAGUAUUCAGUAUAAUGCAGUAUUCGGUUUCUUUUACCUGUUAAGCUUUUGCUUGCUAGAAUUAUUGCAUGGUGUUCUAAUUAUGAAUCUGCUGUAUUUGAGAUUUGCUUAGAUUUUUGUACUGUUGCCAUUUUUAUUGGCAUUUGAUUAUUGGAGUGAUGCCAUAUUUUUGUUCCUUUUAUUUGCUUUAAAAAGCAGAGGUAGAUUUUUUGCACAUUAAAAAAGUCAGUAUUAAUUAAACUGAACCCAUACCCUUUUUAAGAAAGGGGGCCAAAUAUGCAAUGUUGAAAAAAUUUGGAUGGCUGUCUACCUUCUUCUUAGAAAAAUUUAAGGGCAGUUUUGUCCUAAGGAUUUAAAGGGUUGAUGAACCUUCUAAAAACAACAACAAAAAGAUAAAAUACUAGCAUAGAAUUGGGCAGGAAAAUUCCAUAGACUACAUUAAAAGAGAGGAAUUUUCCUAGAAUAUGCAUUUGACUUAGUCAUAAAAUAUUACCCUUUGGGCCUAUACUUUUCAAGUUGGAAAUGAAUAAAAUAUGAAAGGCAAAUCAUGCCAUAAACCCAGAACUAUGUCUAAAGUCCUUAGAGCUACUAUUAUAUUUUUCAAGAUAAUCAAGGGUAUAGUUGAAGAGGUGGGUAUAAUAGUGCUUAGUAACUGGUAUUCUUGCUUCCUCAUCAGGCUUUUUGCUCACUGACAUCCUGUUAUCAAAACUAACCAUGUUUAACAGGAAUGCUUUCCUGAAGUUUGUUUUUAAUAAACAAAUACUCAUUGUCACAAUACUAUCCAUAUGUGUGCUUUCUAAGAUUAUAUCCUACUAGGUAUUUCUAUUUUAUUCCUUCCAAAUGCAAAUUACUGUACUGACCUGAUUUUAUCAACUUCCAAAAUAAGUCCUUAUGACUGUAGAUUGUAUUUUUUGCUUUGUCUUUUAGAGGUGGGUAUUAAACGUAAUGAUACUGAAUUGAGACCAGAGUUUUCAUCCUAAGUGCUUCCUUGACAAUUAGGCUUUUGAUGGGUAUGAAACCUGAUUUGCUAUUUUUCAUUGAUGGAGAGAGAAACUUUAUGGUGGUGUGUCCAAUGAAGUCUAAUUUUGGUAUGUAAUUGUUUCCAAAAAAUUUGACCUAAAGAACCUACAGUCUUUUCAAAUACAAUCCUUUCAAAAUAUAUAAUACUUGGUGAUGUCUAACUUUAUUAGGCAGAGGUCCCAUGUAAUCUGUUUCCUUGUCAAAGGUUUUUUAAAAUGUAGAUUGUCAAUUUAGCCUCUUCUAAACAUAAGAGAAGUACAGACUCCCCAUUUACAUUGAAAUUGAAUCAAAAAAUAAAGUUUAUACAUUAAAAAUAUAAAGUAAGUUUUAAUUUUGUACCCUUCACAAAGUUAACCUGGUUUUCAUUUUUGAAUGGAUUAUUCAAAUAAUUAAUGUUAGUGUUCAAUUCUGGAGCAAACAAUGAUUAAAGCUACUUUUAUGGAAUUUUUGAAUGCUAAUGGAAUUCGUGAGGAUCAUAUGAAUUUUGUGUUACAUAGUUUUCACAAGGAAGAUAAUACUAUAGUGAAAAUUAUAAAGUAUGCCCAGAGUUAUUUAUGAGAUGACAAAUACUUGUCAUUUUUCUAAAAAGCAGAAAAUAAGCCUAAACUAACUGAACUUUUCCCAUAUGUAUAUAUACACUGCUUAUAAAUCUCACUGUACUUAAAAUUCUUCACGCUAACUCACUUUUGGAAAAAUUGAAGAUUCAGCUGGACCUUGGUCCAACCAACAUUGUUAAAAUGGUUCCUGGGCUUCCCUGGUGGCGCAGUG